CGUUGCACCAGCCUGAGGCGCGCUGUGCCGCUGUGCGUUCUCCCGGGAAAGUUGUCCCUGGAUCACGGGACCCUGGCAGUGGCGUGCUUCACAGGCUCCUGGGAGGGGCAGUGUGGAUAGUGACCUGUGCUUGCAGGUCACUUGGUGGUGGCAGCAGCAGCCUUAGCGUCUCAUGGCCGUCUCUGGGGUUCGCGCUUUUAGCCGCGGCUCACGCCCGUCUCUGGAGCUCCUUUAAGCAGCGCUCUUAAUCCCUCUCCUCACACACCAGGAGACAAAGAGGCAAGAAAAAGUCUUUUGUCUCUUCGGCAGGUCCAGACAUUUUCCCGGACUCCCUCCCAGCUAGCCGUGGUGCCCUAACCCCUUUAGGCUGUGUUCACGCAGCCAACCCCAGUCCUCUCCCUGGGAUCCCACCGAAGCCCGAGCCUCAACUCCAGGUCCCGCCCGCCCCGGCGGGUGAGCAGACAAGCCUCUCAGACUGGGUCUGUCCUGGGUAUUGCAGCAUGUUUAGCAGCAUCCUGGACGCCAGUAGCCCUUCCCAGUUAUCUCCAUACACCGCCAAAUUCCAUUGCGAGAAAAACCACGCAGUUGAGAAUCACGAACUACGCGGAUUGACAGAGGGUCCCCAAGGCAUUAAGCCCAGCUGCCCACAACAACCUUCAGAUAAACCCUCAUGGCUCACUGGAGACCUGGAGACCACACUUCCAGAACCACGGCCUGGAUGGCGACACUGUGCAAGAGGAAACUUGCUUGAGUUCUCUCACUUCCAUCAGGAGGGUGAGUCAUGCCACAUACCAUGA
Molecule: long non-coding RNA, 797 nt
Organism: Lagenorhynchus albirostris (white-beaked dolphin)
Lineage: Eukaryota; Metazoa; Chordata; Mammalia; Artiodactyla; Delphinidae
Exons: 3
Source: RefSeq, a predicted model, not a curated record